CUCCUGGUAGCUUAGUUGGUUUAAAGCACAAGACUGUAAAUCUUGGGAUCGGGCGUUCGACUCGCCCCCGGGAGA
Molecule: non-coding RNA, 75 nt
Organism: Lodderomyces parapsilosis
Lineage: Eukaryota; Fungi; Ascomycota; Pichiomycetes; Serinales; Debaryomycetaceae
Source: the annotation of a RefSeq genome assembly